This 203-nucleotide unclassified non-coding RNA is filed under the name Hevea brasiliensis (rubber tree). The record is from RNAcentral. Lineage: Eukaryota; Viridiplantae; Streptophyta; Magnoliopsida; Malpighiales; Euphorbiaceae.
AAAACUAUGGAUUUGGAUGGAAGCAGCAGCUUAGUGGUCCCCGAAGGUUCUGGAUCAGUUCCAGCAGGACAUGUUCAAGGAAGGAGACAUACAGCCUAUUAUCAUUUUACACAACAGAGCCUCCCAGCUUGUAAGCCUGUGUUGACUCCUACAUGGGUUAUUUCUAUUUUUCUUUUAAUGGGGAUCCUUUUCAUUCCUGUAGG